AUUGAACGCUGGCGGCAUGCCUAACACAUGCAAGUCGAACGAAGGCUUCGGCCUUAGUGGCGCACGGGUGAGUAACGCGUGGGAAACUGCCUAUUGGUGGGGAAUAACGACGGGAAACUGUCGCUAAUACCGCAUAAGCCCUUCGGGGGAAAGAUUUAUCGCCGAUAGAUGUGCCCGCGUCCGAUUAGCUAGUUGGUGAGGUAAUGGCUCACCAAGGCGACGAUCGGUAGCUGGUCUGAGAGGAUGAUCAGCCACACUGGGACUGAGACACGGCCCAGACUCCUACGGGAGGCAGCAGUGGGGAAUAUCGGACAAUGGGCGAAAGCCUGAUCCAGCAAUGCCGCGUGAGUGAUGAAGGCCUUAGGGUUGUAAAGCUCUUUCGGGUGGGACGAUGAUGACGGUACCACCAGAAGAAGCCCCGGCUAACUUCGUGCCAGCAGCCGCAGUAA
This 449-nucleotide ribosomal RNA is filed under the name uncultured bacterium. Its description in RNAcentral is "partial 16S ribosomal RNA". It matches the Rfam family "Bacterial small subunit ribosomal RNA", at positions 30 to 523 of the family's 1533-position model. The record is from RNAcentral.